AACCAAUGAUGACUUGAUUUUGCCAUAUGAGUACUCUGAUUACACUCAAUACCGUUCCAUCAUUUACACUGAGGUU
Scleropages formosus (Asian bonytongue) is the source of this 76-nucleotide small nucleolar RNA. Ensembl annotates it as small nucleolar RNA SNORD47. NCBI's taxonomy places the organism in Eukaryota, Metazoa, Chordata, Actinopteri, Osteoglossiformes, Osteoglossidae. The record is from Ensembl.